Long non-coding RNA from Gasterosteus aculeatus aculeatus (three-spined stickleback), 1054 nucleotides. The record is from Ensembl. Lineage: Eukaryota; Metazoa; Chordata; Actinopteri; Perciformes; Gasterosteidae.
GAGGAGGAGGAGGCAGAGGAGGAGGAGGAGGAGGAGGCAGUGGAGGAGGAGGAGGAGGAGGAGGAACAGCGAGGGGAGAAGAAAGACUGACAAAUGAACACAAUAAAGGCCAGUUAGGUAUUUCUAACAACAAACGUGAAGAUGUAAACUAAUUACAACUGGAAUAAUUGUGUUGAGUGUGUAGGCGGAUGUGUGUGUGUGUGUGUGUUCGGGUGGCUCUGCUGUCUUUGCAUUGGGGACUUAUCUUUGCCCAGCAGGCAGUGUUGCACCAUAUGGUCCAGAGAGAAGAUAUUCCUACAACAACACACACACAGACACAAAGACGCGCAGGGCUCACACAUGAACAUAGACAUGUGCAAAUGAAGAAAAAAAAGUGAUGGAGAGAAGAAGAGGAAGAGAGAGAAAGAUAGUCAUCGACAGGAAGUUUCAAGCACCUGAGAAGAUGACAGCUUGACCCCCUGAGUCCGCCUUCACACAGCUGGCCCUCUAAGAGGGUCCGGGGGGGUCCGGCUGAAGGUCCACUAAGCCCCUCACAGUCCAUAUGGCCAGGGGGGCUUACGCACCCCGCGAUGACACGAGAAGGCGAGCCCAGAGGCUGGAAACGCGGCGCGGAGACAUUCAGAGAUGUGCGCUCAUGUGCGACACACUCUAGGAAAGGCCUCAUUUGUGUGAGCCCACGCACAUGUUUGGAUAACCACUUGUCUGGCUGCAAGGCGAGAGCGGGGGAAACUAACUCUACAGGAUGUGUGGCAUGGUGGAAUGUGUGCGUGUGUGUGUGUGUGUGUCAGGGUAAAUAAAGGAAGAGCAAUAAUGACUGUGAGUCAUAUGAUCCGGCUGCACGGUCAUACUAAUGGCAUUAGCCCCAUCGAGAGACCUGCAGGACUCCUCCUGUCCUUCUUGUCGCUGUGUUUCCUCCUCUCCUCUUCUCAGUUUCCUUCUCCUCGGUCCAACACGUCUUCCUCUCCGUCACUCAGCUUGUUUAUUGAUCUGUUUUAGAUUGUUCUAGACACACUGCCGCUGCAACUAUUAGGACUACCCACCUUUUUAAUUAGAU